Long non-coding RNA from Bubalus bubalis (water buffalo), 521 nucleotides. RefSeq lists it as uncharacterized. Lineage: Eukaryota; Metazoa; Chordata; Mammalia; Artiodactyla; Bovidae. The record is from RefSeq and is a predicted model, not a curated record. The transcript has 2 exons.
AAGACAGCACACAACCCCAGCUCUGACAGCCACAGCCAAGCCAGUUCCCCAGGACCUACACUCAGUAUUUCAGCAUCAAGUUGCCACAGCUUUGAACUAUGUCUCUGAGCAUCUCCACUUUAUCUGAUUUAUUCUGUGCGCCUGUUAGCAAGAUGCAUCCUAAGAACCCUGACUAAUACACAUUUUGGUACCAAGAGGUGGGGUGCUGCUAUAACAAAUACCUAAAAAUGCAGAUAGAGGCUGGAGGAGUUUUGAGAUACACACGAGAGAAAGCCUAGAUCACCUGGAAGAAACUGUUGGCAGGAAUAUGAAUGGUAAAAGGGAUUCUGAUGAAGUCUCAGAAAUGAGGAACAUGCUGUUGGAAAUUGGAGGAAAGCUGGUCCUUGUUACAAAGUAUCAAGGAACUUGGUGUGAUUGUGUUUUACUGUUUUGUGGAAAGUAGAAUUUGUGACAAAAUAAGUUAUUUAGCUGAGGAGAUUUUGCUUGUUCUUUUGUUUUUAAAGUCUUUAUUGAAUUUAUUA